UACGGAGGAUCCAAGCGUUAUCCGGAUUUAUUGGGUUUAAAGGGUGCGUAGGCGGGUUUUUAAGUCAGUGGUGAAAGUUUGCGGCUCAACCGUAAAAUUGCCAUUGAAACUGAAGACCUUGAGUGUAAAUGAGGUAGGCGGAAUGUGUUGUGUAGCGGUGAAAUGCUUAGAUAUAACACAGAACACCAAUUGCGAAGGCAGCUUACUGGGAUACAACUGACGCUGAGGCACGAAAGCGUGGGGAUCAAACAGGAUUAGAUACCCUGGUAGUCCACGCAGUAAACGAUGAAUACUAACUGUAUGCGAUAUACUGUAUGCGGUACAGCGAAAGCGUUAAGUAUUCCACCUGGGGAGUACGUUCGCAAGAAUG
RNAcentral lists this ribosomal RNA (370 nucleotides) under uncultured prokaryote. RNAcentral describes it as "bacterial SSU rRNA". It matches the Rfam family "Bacterial small subunit ribosomal RNA", at positions 524 to 896 of the family's 1533-position model. The record is from RNAcentral.